RNAcentral lists this ribosomal RNA (478 nucleotides) under Streptococcus mitis. RNAcentral describes it as "bacterial SSU rRNA". It matches the Rfam family "Bacterial small subunit ribosomal RNA", at positions 28 to 490 of the family's 1533-position model. The record is from RNAcentral. Lineage: Bacteria; Bacillati; Bacillota; Bacilli; Lactobacillales; Streptococcaceae.
GACGAACGCUGGCGGCGUGCCUAAUACAUGCAAGUAGAACGCUGAAGGAGGAGCUUGCUUCUCUGGAUGAGUUGCGAACGGGUGAGUAACGCGUAGGUAACCUGCCUGGUAGCGGGGGAUAACUAUUGGAAACGAUAGCUAAUACCGCAUAAUAGUAGAUGUUGCAUGACAUUUGCUUAAAAGGUGCAAUUGCAUCACUACCAGAUGGACCUGCGUUGUAUUAGCUAGUUGGUGAGGUAACGGCUCACCAAGGCGACGAUACAUAGCCGACCUGAGAGGGUGAUCGGCCACACUGGGACUGAGACACGGCCCAGACUCCUACGGGAGGCAGCAGUAGGGAAUCUUCGGCAAUGGACGGAAGUCUGACCGAGCAACGCCGCGUGAGUGAAGAAGGUUUUCGGAUCGUAAAGCUCUGUUGUAAGAGAAGAACGAGUGUAAGAGUGGAAAGUUCACACUGUGACGGUAUCUUACCAGAAAG